GCCCCGGUAGCUCAGUUGGUAGAGCGUUUGCAUGGUAAGCAAAAGGUCGCGAGUUCGAGUCUCGCCCGGGGCU
RNAcentral lists this transfer RNA (73 nucleotides) under Candidatus Aenigmatarchaeota archaeon. Its description in RNAcentral is "tRNA-Thr". It matches the Rfam family "tRNA". From Rfam's summary of the family: Transfer RNA (tRNA) molecules are approximately 80 nucleotides in length. Lineage: Archaea; Nanobdellati; Candidatus Aenigmatarchaeota. The record is from RNAcentral.